This 64-nucleotide transfer RNA is filed under the name Dipodomys ordii (Ord's kangaroo rat). It matches the Rfam family "tRNA". Rfam says of the family: Transfer RNA (tRNA) molecules are approximately 80 nucleotides in length. Their secondary structure includes four short double-helical elements and three loops (D, anti-codon, and T loops). The record is from Rfam by way of RNAcentral. Lineage: Eukaryota; Metazoa; Chordata; Mammalia; Rodentia; Heteromyidae.
GGUGGCUCAGUGGUAGAGUGCUUGCCUUGCAUGCAUGAGGCCCUGGGUUUGAUUCCCAGCACCA